GGCGGCUGCCCACAUCUUCCCCUCCCUCAGCCAGGAGGCGGGAGGGGCUGCUGGCCUAAGACCUUUUGCGGGCUGCAAUUGGCUGCCAACGGCUGAACCCGCAGCACCCAUUGGCGGGGUAACUUGUCAAUCGCAUCGUGUCCUUCUCCAGGGUCCCUUCGCCUGAGAGGCCUGCGGUCGGGGCCGGGAGCGAAGGCCGGGGAGCGGCGGGAAGAGGCGGCCGGGGCUGCGCCUGCCGUGAGGGGUGUCCCAGCCCGGCGGGAGGCAAGUGGCCCCGGGCGCGGUGUGCCAGCAGCCCUUCUCCCAGACGUGGUGACAGCUGGCCGCUGUGGCAGCCUUGGAAUGUGCGCUGGACACAUUGGAACCCACCGGACAGAAGGGUGGAAAGCGAUGGCGCAGCCUCGUGUGGAUUUGGUCCAGGAGGGACGUUUUAAUCCCGAGGCGAAGAGGGCCAAACCACUGCCACCCGUCUCCGUUUCCCUACUGACCACGGCCCUGUGGUGAGCAGGUGUGGAGCCCAGCCCAGGCGCUUCAGGGAUCCACAUUCCGUGUUUAAAAAUAGUUCCCGGGGUUAUGAUGGGUAUGGAGGGAUCGGGAGGUCGCGUUUUCUCCUCACUGCCUCUGAAGAUGAGCAAUUCUCCGGUUUCCCAGCUGCUGAAUGCUUCUGCUUGCUCCACACUGUAAAUUCAACACUCCUGGGAAGCAAGAGGCCCACAGUCCCAUCUCGCUUGCUGCGCUGCAGGCACUGAACAACGAUGGUCUCUGUCAUAAGGCAGAGCUUUCAACUGAAAAGCUGUUUGUUUUUCCUGCUUGUCUGUGUUAAACAUUCCUCUGCUGAGCGAUUUUUAAUAUUUGCUAAAUAUGCUUUAAUUACUGCUCAGAACUGUCUCUGUGAUCUUAUAACCAUGUUAUAAAAGGAGUUUAUACAGCAAUUAAAAACAGGUUUUACCCCAGAGCAUGCACUUGGGUAGCCAGCGUCAUAUUUCUGAUAGCUAACAGCAUUUUAAAAAUGGAUCUGAGCCAGGCAUCAACAACAAAGAAAGACUUAUAUAUGCUUAAUUUUACCACAGUGUUUUUUAAAUCAGAACCAUAUUUUUAAUUCUCUUAUUUUGGACCAAAAAUCCUCCCCCUGAAGACAAUGCUAAAACUCUAUUGAUUUAGAUCAGUAGGGCAGGAUUAGGUCCACAAUGAGCCUUGUUCUUUAAGAAUUAGCACAGACUUUGAUCUAAAUUAAAAUUUAACAAGUGCACUGACAAGACCACCAGCAGCCACAUGAACAUACACAGAUGAAUGCUGUAUUUUAGUUUUCCAGCUCUGCCAUGAAAAAUGCACUUCCACAUUUUUAAGCCAAAAUCUCUCAUUCACAUAGAAUCCAGGUCCCACAAAUUUUGUAGUAUUUUUUAAAUGAAAUCAGCAUUUUGGGGCCCUCAAAAGACAGGCAUUGCUGUUGCAUUCAUUCAUUCAGCAUGUUGGUUUAACCUGCAUCUGUUGAGGGAUGAAAAAAUGGAGUUUCCACAAAGGUCUUAAUCCUUAGUCCACUUCAGAUCUCCAAGCAGCAUCUUCUCCUUUUUCAUUGUUAAUAUUCUGCUUAUGCUACUCUUCCCAAUUUGCUUUAUUUUGUCUAGUUUGUGUAGGUUGUAAGCUCAUCAGGGCGGACGUGAUGCCUGUAUUUAUAAAACAGCCUAUGAAGUAGUGCUGCUGAAUCCAGUGGUUUGUUGUAAUAAUAAGAAGUUUUAGUAGAAAUCUGAAGUGGAAAAGCAGUUUCCUCAUGCAUCCACUUCUGCUGUGGACCAGGCUUUACAGGAGACUGAGAAGUGGAAAAAAUCCAAAUGUCUUUCAAGUAGGAAGGCUGCAAUCUGAGAAAGUCUCAGAGCUGGGUUUCCCCUGAUUUUUGACUUCCAGGAAAACACCACAGUGAUUAGAGCAGGCGGUGCCCUCCUCCCAUUGAUUUUGCUGCAAAGUAAAGGCUUUCUUCUGGCACCUGCAAGCACAACAGGCACACGAUCCAUGCACAAAAUGCUUUCAUUCUUAUAAGCUUUACUUUGGGUUUUGAGAAAUAAGGCAAGGACCAUGCCAUGGAGGAAGGAGGAGUGAUUUAAAACCCUCCAACUGGGAAGCUGAUGAAAGACACUUCACAUGCCCACACCUCCUUUCGCCCUGGGAAUGUCAAAGCUUCUAAGGACAGAAAAGUUUUCCCACUGGCCUUUUCUGUGGAGGGUAAAUCUCCAUUAUGAAGCAUUUCUAAGCAGCUGAGCAGGACAGAGGGGUUGAGAAUGUGUUUCAGAGCCUUUUCACUCAUUGCUGAAAGCGCAAAAUAAGCCUGAUGCAAGCAUCCAGACCCUGACAGACAAGCAGGUACACCUGGCCUGACUCCUCUUUUGCAGUUGGUGCAGGGUGGCCAAGGACUGUUGGUUCUAUUACGCAAAGCUUUGUGUGUGUAUUCAAGACCAUUUUGGACUCUUUAUUGUUACACAAAACUCUCCUAGAAAAAUAUUGUCAGCACAUAACUCCUGACAGAAAUCAGUUUAGCAAUGCCAGAGAAGAUCCUGUUGCAGCAGGGAAGGCCCAAGUGUCCCUGGGUACUUAAAUCUCCUGAGGGAUGGCCAUGGCAGGACUGAACACAGAAAGCAGCUUUUGGAGGAAACAUUGCUUCUCUCAAGGUGGUACAGCAUGGGUACUCUGUCAUCUGGGAGUGCAUGGGCCCAGUUUACAGCUGGCAAACUUUGAAGAAAUAAAAUAAAACAUCUUGUGUGACAUUACAGUGAAGCAACAUGAAUUCUCUUAAAAGGCAAUGAGAAGAGAAACCCUAGGAAUAGAAAGAUAGGAUUGAAUAAGGUUUUGUUCACUUCUUGCUAUCUGGGAAUAAGAUUUGUGAGGGAAUAUUGUUCUUAUCCUUAUAAACGGCCAAUAUCUUCUUGAACCCAGGUAAGCUGAGGCCAGGCGAGGUUAGUGGUUCACAUUAGCAGAUUCUAAUGACAUGAGUUUACAAUAAUAGUGUAAUAGUUCAGUGUAACAGUGACUCAUAGCUUAUUACGAUGGCAAUAGGAAUGUAUAGAGAUCUCAUCUGAAAAAAAAUCUAUUUGGAUAGUUCACAUCCUUUCCUUCCUUACUCAUGAAUUCCUGUGUCAUUGACUGCUGGCUGCUAAAAAUAGGAUCCUUUUUGUGUAUCUAAAGUAAAGGAAAACCUAGAAUGAGAGACAGUAGGAGACAACCAAGGUCUUUACAUACAGAGCCUUCAGGAAAUAUUUGUAAUGAAAGCCCUCCAAGAGUGCAGGAAUGUUUUUAAAAGAUGGGAACAAUCUAAGUGUAAGAAGAUAUUCUGCCGGGGAAAGUGGAGAAGAGUUAAUGAAUCACACCAGCUCCCAGCUUUGGUAUUUUACACCAUGGGGAUGAGAAGAUUCCUCUCUCUAUUAGGUAUACUACCAAGCUACAGUUUCAUCUUUGAGAAGCUGUUCCAGUUCAGCAGCAGGAGAGCAAGCUUCAGGGAACAGGCCAGGAGCAGCCCUGUGGGCUGAUGAGGAGCCAGAGAGGAGCCACAAGAGGAAACUAGGAGUUGCUUGAAGUUGUACAAAUCUCUGAAGGACAGCAGUAGGAAAGGAGAACCAGGAAGACACAAGUAAGGUAUCUGCAAAUUAAAUGGAUUACCACCACCACCCCUGUGAAAAAUUAAAAAACCCACAUGGCACCUCUGAAACAAACCACUGAAGUGUGAAAUCAUACGGCAGGGAAAGCUGUCACACAGAAUCAGAAAUUGAUGUAAUAGAGAAAAAUUGACUGCUGCAUAAUUUGUGCAGAUUGCUAGCUGAGAGAGAGAGAUCCAUAGCUCCUAAGGGCUUAGCUGUGGGCACUGUCUGGCAAAAGGUGUGGAAAGCAAAAUUUCAUAGUUGGUAAUUCUACGUGUACUGAAUGCUUCCUCUUCAAUACCAAACAAUUAAAAUCGAUGACAGGAUGCUAGGUAACAAAAGAAAAUGACUGAUCAAUAUGCAUGUCUUGGAGCUGAAGAAAAACCCGUCUGCCGAGAGCAGCAUGCUGAUGAGGCGAGAUUUCUGAGAGCCCAAAUAGAAAAUCUUAAAAGCUUCCAUUCCCGAUGCUCAAUAAAACAAUGCAGCUAAGCAGAUGCCAGAUGCAGUGCUAGGAGAGCUUAAGUCACCAAGGAGGCUAAAUAAUAACUGUUAGGAAAAACAGGGAAUAUUCAUUUUUAGACUAAAUAGCUUUACAGUAAAAAAUGUGAUGCUUCUCUUCUUUGCCUUUCUUUCUAAAGAGCUCAAAAGCCCUUUACUGAUACUGAAAAAUAAUGUUCUUUGUAUACUCAUGUGAGGUUUUAGAGAUGCUGAGGCACUGACAUUUUAAGGCCAAUGUCCAUUUUAGUCUUCAGCUCAAAGCAGUUUAAAUCUCAUUUCCAUGUAUAUUUCCGUUGGGGGUGUCUGCCAAGUGCUGCCAAAAAUCAAACACUAAUCUUUGAUGAUUCAGUAGUUUUAAGUCAGUCACCUGAUUUCUUAAUACUUCCAGAAAUGUUGUUGUAAAGCAGUCCGCAGGGUCUGCCAUGGCUCCAGCAGGGCAGGGAAUGACACAUGGACCUUCGGGUUCACUUACCCAGUUUUCCCCUCCUGAAUGGUAUUUUUUGUUUCUGAGGCAGCAGAUCGUAAACUGGCACAGAAGCAGUUAAGCACCUAAGGAAUUGUGGCUUUUACAUUUCGUUCUGCUGACACAAACAGAAGGCGAACAUAACUGAAUAUUAGAGCCAGAAAAAUGCUGCAAAAACUUUGUGAAAGUUCACUUCAUCGUAACCCCCACAUUUGGCUGACCAUAUUUCCCGUGAGUCCAUCCUUUUUCUAACUGCAGCCUCCUCAACAGUGGAUAAAGGUCUCUUUCUUAGCCUCCUGACUUUGAUUUCGUUAAUAAACCAGGCAAGAUUCGUA
Long non-coding RNA from Falco peregrinus (peregrine falcon), 4919 nucleotides. RefSeq lists it as uncharacterized. Lineage: Eukaryota; Metazoa; Chordata; Aves; Falconiformes; Falconidae. The record is from RefSeq and is a predicted model, not a curated record. The transcript has 4 exons.